UACAGAGGGUGCAAGCGUUGUUCGGAUUUACUGGGCGUAAAGCGUACGCAGACGGCUUGGUAGGUCGGAUGUGAAAGCCCCGGGCUCAACCCGGGAAUUGCAUCCGAAACCACCUCGCUCGAGUGUGGGAGAGGGAAGCGGAAUUCCUGGUGUAGAGGUGAAAUUCGUAGAUAUCAGGAGGAACACCGGCGGCGAAGGCGGCUUCCUGGCCCAUUACUGACGUUCAGGUACGAAAGCGUGGGGAGCAAACAGG
RNAcentral lists this ribosomal RNA (253 nucleotides) under uncultured bacterium. RNAcentral's name for it is "partial 16S ribosomal RNA". It matches the Rfam family "Bacterial small subunit ribosomal RNA", at positions 524 to 776 of the family's 1533-position model. The record is from RNAcentral.